AUACCAAAAUUCUCUUUCUCUCUCUCUCUCUCUCUCUCUCUCUCUCUUUUUAAAUAAUAAUUCUAGACCCUAUCUUCAUCGGUUGUGUCAUUGAAAGAACAACGAACUACUUGUUCUUUGUGUAUAAAUAUUUGCCAAGCAAGGCCUAGGCAUUCAGCUCGUGAUCGAUCGUCGCUUUUCUCAAAAAACUGUGAUUUUCCGGGGGCCGGCGUGGUGGUGGAAGAUGGCGGUAGUUUCGGGCAGAAGGCGGCCGGGAAAAGGAGGGCUGCGAUCGGAGGAAAUUGUUUGACAUAAUUAGUUUGAUGAAACAAAGGUGAUAAUUUGAAGCUAUAACUCGUGAUGGAGAAAUAUUGAUAUAUGACUUCGUUGAGUUAUAUGUUCGAAUGAGUGGAUGUAUCGAGAGAGAGAGAGUCAUGAGAUCAGAUUAUUGAGACUACUUAAAUAAAAUCUUGCUAUAGAGAUGUGAUAAUUAUCUCUAUUUUCUUUC
Long non-coding RNA from Cucumis melo (muskmelon), 487 nucleotides. RefSeq lists it as uncharacterized. The transcript has 2 exons. The record is from RefSeq and is a predicted model, not a curated record. Lineage: Eukaryota; Viridiplantae; Streptophyta; Magnoliopsida; Cucurbitales; Cucurbitaceae.